UACGGAAGGCAGCAGUGGGGAAUAUUGCACAAUGGGCGCAAGCCUGAUGCAGCCAUGCCGCGUGUAUGAAGAAGGCCUUCGGGUUGUAAAGUACUUUCAGCGGGGAGGAAGGCGGUGAAGUUAAUAGCUUCACCGAUUGACGUUACCCGCAGAAGAAGCACCGGCUAACUCCGUGCCAGCAGCCGCGGUAAUACGGAGGGUGCAAGCGUUAAUCGGAAUUACUGGGCGUAAAGCGCACGCAGGCGGUCUGUCAAGUCGGAUGUGAAAUCCCCGGGCUUAACCUGGGAACUGCAUUCGAAACUGGCAGGCUAGAGUCUUGUAGAGGGGGUAGAAUUCCAGGUGUAGCGGUGAAAUGCGUAGAGAUCUGGAGGAAUACCGGUGGCGAAGGCGGCCCCUGGGACAAAGCUGACGCUCAGGUGCGAAAGCGUGGGGAGCAAACAGGGAUUAGAUACC
Molecule: ribosomal RNA, 453 nt
Filed under: uncultured bacterium
Lineage: Bacteria
Description: bacterial SSU rRNA
Rfam family: Bacterial small subunit ribosomal RNA
Source: RNAcentral